Juglans microcarpa x Juglans regia is the source of this 916-nucleotide long non-coding RNA. RefSeq lists it as uncharacterized. The transcript is spliced from 2 exons. The record is from RefSeq and is a predicted model, not a curated record. Lineage: Eukaryota; Viridiplantae; Streptophyta; Magnoliopsida; Fagales; Juglandaceae.
AUAUGAAGUCAUAGAGUUAGUUGUUGACAUUCAGCACUGCUUACAGGGCUUUGUUGGAGUGGCAAAAGAUCUUAAUGCUAUCGUAAUUGUAUUUAGAGGAACUCAGGAACACAGAUAGAUAUUCUAAUGGCUUAUCUAGUGGUAAUUUAUGUUCAGUGAUAUUUUUCGGCCUUGACUGAUGAAUGGAAUAGGAAAAAAGGUUUGUUCAUGAGUUGUGAUGGUUGGCUGACAGCCACACUGCAUACUAUUUCACCCCAAAAGCUAAGAGAUGGAAUUAAUUAAAAAGAAAAGGAAAGAAAAAGAAUAAAAAAACAAGAGUGUAUUCCCAUAUGAUUAAACAAAAAUUUGCCACAUGAUUUGCACAAGCAUGUCAUCACACAAGCACAAGAUUAUAAAGAGAUUUUUGUGUGCAUGGUUUUGAAUUUCACUUACCUACGCUGAUAGUUAUACGUGUUCAUUGGAUUUGUGAAAAAUGAAUGGAUUGGUUUUUGGAAGGGUUACCCUAAAGUCCAUAAAGUUGACCCAUUGACUUGUUACCCCAAGCAAAGGUCCUAGGUUGAUAUACACAACUUCAAAAUCACAAGACCUUGUUAGAUGAAGUUGAAGAUAACUUCAAUUCUUUUUUUAUCUUUCAUUCCACAAUGCCACUUUGUUCCUCCAAAAUUUGCUCCCUCGAGAACUGUAUGUUUGUCAAUACCUCAAGUUAUGACCUGCCUGAAAGAGUCCCCUUUCAACUCUCAAAUUAUCUAUUGGCUGAGGUGCCUGGAUGAUCCUUAAAGCUAUAUCUAUUCAAAAGCAUUAGUUCUAAAAAUUCAAAAAGAAUGGUUUAAGAUCAUACUUCCUUAGAUUUGGCAUGUAUUAGUACAUCAAAUAUUCCACUUUUCAGUUAGCAGUAAUAUUAUUUCUUUGAUUGUCG